GCAAUCACAUGGGAGCGCCUCUUACAUACCCCCGUGUGCCAGGGAGAGGAGGAGGCCUCAGGAUGGCCCCGGAGCUGGGAAGGGGGGUCCUACACAGCCAUCUCCUCCACCUUCCUCUGUCACCUCCUCGCACCCCCCUGGAGACGGUGCAAUCCAACAUCUUCCCCCUCUGUCCCAGGAACGCUGGGAACUGGAGCUUCAGAACCUGGCUCCAAAAACACAACGCCCCCCUCGAGCAAAAAUAUUCCAGGUCAAAGCAAUUUUCCAACCCGACAGGAAGCGGCCUGCCUGGGCAGAGGUGGGAGGGUCGUUUGCACCCAGAGCCAAGUCCAGAAGCUCUCCAGCUCAAUCCCCCACCCUGGGGGCCUGCUCUCCCUCCCCUGCCCUCUCUUCCCCCCUCCCUUCCAAACCUUUCUUGGGCACCCAGCCCCUGGAGGGAGGGGCCCUUCAGCUGGCUUAACCCUUCCCACCCCAGGCUCCCAGUCGCCUCGUUCUGCUCUGGGUAUUGAACAGCAACCCUGUCCUGAUGGGGCCUCUUCUCUCAACAGCGCUGCAGGGCGUGUGUUAUUAUGCUUCCCCUUUCACAACAGCGAGGGGGGGACAAGACUAAAGAAGUCGGAUCCUUUGCUGGGUCACAUGGCUAGGAAGCUGUCCAGCCAGGAUUCCAGCACCAGCAGAAGUCUGUCCUGUAGGGGAGCACAGCCCCCUCUCCUGUGCCCCAGAGGCCCCCUCGAGGCCUGGCUUCACACGUGUGGCCAGAUUAGAGGCGUGAGAUGCACCUGUGUCCCCCUCCUCACAGGCAAGAACGAGGACCAGGGCCGGGCAAGGAUGGACCCUCAGAAUACGCUAGUGGGAGGGGUCUCCCGGUAUGGUCAGAAGGGACGUGGGCCAGAGGCGGCUUGGCCCCCUGGGGGACUGGCUCAGGCUGUGCGGGGGACCUGGCCUCCCCGCCACCAUCUUUACAGGAUCCUGUUCCACAGCCGAGAAGAAGCAAAGAGCCUCGGUGAGCUCUGGGUGCUGGCCUUCUGGCUCCGGGGGGCAGGGGUGGGGAGGGCGCUGAAGGUCUCGAGUUCUCUUUCCAGCAACUUCUCUGUGAAAACACAAGCCUCUUGCAGUGCGUUUAAAAUGUCAGGGUGA
This 1137-nucleotide long non-coding RNA is filed under the name Sus scrofa (pig). Its description in RNAcentral is "lncRNA (ENSSSCG00070011945.1)". The record is from RNAcentral. Lineage: Eukaryota; Metazoa; Chordata; Mammalia; Artiodactyla; Suidae.